ACGGCCGUCACCGGGCCAUACUCCUUGCGGAUGCCGCGGAUCUGCAGGAAGGGUCUAUUCAU
RNAcentral lists this small RNA (62 nucleotides) under Sinorhizobium meliloti 2011. RNAcentral describes it as "putative ncRNA". Lineage: Bacteria; Pseudomonadati; Pseudomonadota; Alphaproteobacteria; Hyphomicrobiales; Rhizobiaceae. The record is from RNAcentral.